AGGUGUGCUAAUACUAGCACUAAUGUACCGGAUCCCAUCCAAACUCCGCAGCUAAGCUUAUUUAGACGAGAAUUGUACUAAAAUAGAUGACCUCUUGGAAAAUCCUCCUCCUGUUGCACCAU
This 122-nucleotide ribosomal RNA is filed under the name Macleaya cordata. Lineage: Eukaryota; Viridiplantae; Streptophyta; Magnoliopsida; Ranunculales; Papaveraceae. The record is from RNAcentral.